This 554-nucleotide ribosomal RNA is filed under the name uncultured bacterium. RNAcentral describes it as "partial 16S ribosomal RNA". It matches the Rfam family "Bacterial small subunit ribosomal RNA", at positions 355 to 895 of the family's 1533-position model. The record is from RNAcentral.
UGGGGAAUAUUGCACAAUGGGCGCAAGCCUGAUGCAGCCAUGCCGCGUGUGUGAAGAAGGCCUUCGGGUUGUAAAGCACUUUCAGCGAGGAGGAAGGUGGUGAACUUAAUACGUUCAUCAAUUGACGUUACUCGCAGAAGAAGCACCGGCUAACUCCGUGCCAGCAGCCGCGGUAAUACGGAGGGUGCAAGCGUUAAUCGGAAUUACUGGGCGUAAAGCGCACGCAGGCGGUUUGUUAAGUCAGAUGUGAAAUCCCCGGGCUCAACCUGGGAACUGCAUUUGAAAACUGGCAAGCUAGAGUCUCGUAGAGGGGGGUAGAAAUUCCAGGUGUAGCGGUGAAAUGCGUAGAGAUCUGGAGGAAUACCGGUGGCGAAGGCGGCCCCCUGGACGAAGACUGACGCUCAGGUGCGAAAAGCGUGGGGAGCAAAACAGGAUUAGAUACCCUGGUAGUCCACGCUGUAAAACGAUGUCGAUUUUGGAGGUUGUGCCUUUGAGGCGUGGCUUCCGGAGCUAACGCGUUAAAUCGACCGCCUGGGGAGUACGGCCGCAAGGUU